AACUUGUACAAAAGCUGUCAGAUUACGAACAAAAGAUCAAGGAAUCAAAGAAAUAUAUUCAAGAAACCAAGAAACAAAAUAUGAUUCUUCGUGAUGAAGCAAUUAAAUAUAAGGAUAAAAUCAAGACACUUGAAAAAACUAAUGAAAUUCUGGAUGACAGAGCUAAAAGUCUUCGUAUUACAUUAGAAUCUGAGAGAGAACAUACUGUCAGGAAUCAGGAC
Molecule: long non-coding RNA, 221 nt
Organism: Galeopterus variegatus (Sunda flying lemur)
Lineage: Eukaryota; Metazoa; Chordata; Mammalia; Dermoptera; Cynocephalidae
Exons: 3
Source: RefSeq, a predicted model, not a curated record